RNAcentral lists this ribosomal RNA (253 nucleotides) under uncultured bacterium. RNAcentral's name for it is "partial 16S ribosomal RNA". It matches the Rfam family "Bacterial small subunit ribosomal RNA", at positions 524 to 776 of the family's 1533-position model. The record is from RNAcentral.
UACGUAGGGUGCGAGCGUUGUCCGGAAUUACUGGGCGUAAAGAGCUCGUAGGUGGUUUGUCGCGUUGUUCGUGAAAUCUCACGGCUUAACUGUGAGCGUGCGGGCGAUACGGGCAGACUAGAGUGAUGUAGGGGAGACUGGAAUUCCUGGUGUAGCGGUGAAAUGCGCAGAUAUCAGGAGGAACACCGGUGGCGAAGGCGGGUCUCUGGGCCGAUACUGACGCUGAGGAGCGAAAGCGUGGGGAGCGAACAGG